RNAcentral lists this ribosomal RNA (252 nucleotides) under uncultured bacterium. Its description in RNAcentral is "partial 16S ribosomal RNA". It matches the Rfam family "Bacterial small subunit ribosomal RNA", at positions 525 to 776 of the family's 1533-position model. The record is from RNAcentral.
ACGGAGGGUGCAAGCGUUAAUCGGAAUGACUGGGCGUAAAGCGCACGCAGGCGGUCUGUUAAGUUGGAUGUGAAAUCCCCGGGCUUAACCUGGGAACUGCAUUCAAAACUGACAGACUAGAGUCUCGUAGAGGGGGGUAGAAUUCCAGGUGUAGCGGUGAAAUGCGUAGAGAUCUGGAGGAAUACCGGUGGCGAAGGCGGCCCCCUGGACGAAGACUGACGCUCAGGUGCGAAAGCGUGGGGAGCAAACAGG